GAUGAAGAACGUAGCGAAACGCGAUAAGUAAUGUGAAUUGCAGAAUUUAGUGAAUCAUCGAAUCUUUGAACGCACAUUGCGCCCGCUGGUAUUCCGGCGGGCAUGCCUGUUCGAGCGUCAUUUCAACCCUCAAGCCCCCGGGUUUGGUGUUGGGGAUCGGCUCUGCCCUUCUGGGCGGUGCCGCCCCCGAAAUACAUUGGCGGUCUCGCUGCAGCCUCCAUUGCGUAGUAGCUAACACCUCGCAACUGGAACGCGGCGCGGCCAUGCCGUAAAACCCCAACUUCUGAAUGUUGACCUCGGAUCAGGUAGGAAUACCCGCUGAACUUAAGCAUAUCAAUAAGCGGAGGA
Molecule: unclassified non-coding RNA, 348 nt
Filed under: soil metagenome
Description: partial contains 5.8S ribosomal RNA, internal transcribed spacer 2, and large subunit ribosomal RNA
Rfam family: 5.8S ribosomal RNA (bases 1-120)
Source: RNAcentral